GCUGCCACUUUGGCAGCACAUAGACUAAAACUGGACCAUCGCAGAGAAGAUUAGCAUAGUCCCUGUGCAAGGAUGAUAUGCAAAUGUGUGACGCGUUCCAUACUUUU
Small nuclear RNA from Phyllostomus discolor (pale spear-nosed bat), 107 nucleotides. The record is from RefSeq and is a predicted model, not a curated record. NCBI's taxonomy places the organism in Eukaryota, Metazoa, Chordata, Mammalia, Chiroptera, Phyllostomidae.